RNAcentral lists this ribosomal RNA (253 nucleotides) under uncultured bacterium. RNAcentral describes it as "partial 16S ribosomal RNA". It matches the Rfam family "Bacterial small subunit ribosomal RNA", at positions 524 to 776 of the family's 1533-position model. The record is from RNAcentral.
UACGUAGGUGGCAAGCGAUACUCGGAAUCACUAGGCGUAAAGCGCAGGUAGGCGGUUUGGUAAGUCUUUUGUGAAAGCUCCCGGCUCAACUGGGAGAGGUCAAAGGAAACUACCAGACUAGAGUGUGGUAGGGGAUACUGGAAUUCCUGGUGUAGCGGUGAAAUGCGUAGAUAUCAGGAGGAAUACCUAUGGCGAAAGCAGGUAUCUGGGCCAUCACUGACGCUGAGCUGCGAAAGCUAGGGGAGCAAACAGG